UUCAAGUGUAUUUGUGGUUUCUGUGUUCAAUAUUUAACCAUCUAUCUUAUAUUUUUUUUAUGGUUGGUAUUUUUAUUGUUAUUAGAUGAUGAAAUAUAAAUAUUACUUUAUGCAUGAUUUUUUUUAUUUUUUCAUAUUUUUUUAAAUAAGACAGACGGUCAAACGUUGGAUACAAAUAUACUUAAA
RNAcentral lists this microRNA precursor (186 nucleotides) under Oryza nivara. RNAcentral's name for it is "MIR812 microRNA precursor family". It matches the Rfam family "MIR812 microRNA precursor family". The record is from Rfam by way of RNAcentral. Lineage: Eukaryota; Viridiplantae; Streptophyta; Magnoliopsida; Poales; Poaceae.